This is a non-coding RNA of Labrus bergylta (ballan wrasse), 1085 nucleotides long. The record is from RefSeq and is a predicted model, not a curated record. NCBI's taxonomy places the organism in Eukaryota, Metazoa, Chordata, Actinopteri, Labriformes, Labridae.
CUGGAACUGUCUCGUUGAAGAUCAUCACAACUCGAGGCAGAGAAAGAGAAGAAGGACCUGUCCGAUUCAGAAGGAUUUAAAUGUCUUUAUUUGUGAUGCUGGUGCUUCUGCUUACAGCAGCAGUAACUGGAGAAGACAUCCCGUCCUUCACCGUCAGAGAGGGAGAUGAAGUCACUUUGCCUUGUGGAAAUGUGAUAGAAUGUCAGCAGAACUGUGACGGGACUUCUUGGCUUAUCAGCCAGGGAUUUGUGGGCGCUUUAGAGCUGGUUACACGUGGGAAUAUCAGUGAAAAAGCCGUCGAUUUAUCCAACAGGCUGAGAGUCGUAGCAAACUGUUCUCUGGUAAUAACGGAGGUCAGUAUGUUGUAUGUUGGUCGUUACGCCUGCAGGCAGUUCAAAUCAGGAGAACAACACGGUCAGGAUGCUCAUGUGGAUCUGUCUGUUCUGGAAAUUGGGGAAUUAUUGUCCAAAGAUGAGUCCAGCUUCUCCUGCUCUGUGGACACAUAUGACAACGGGUGUUGGCACACAGUACAGUGGUUGUAUACAGGAAGUAUGAAUGACAUGGUGACAUCACAGGCUACAUGUUCAGCCACUGUGACAUUUAGAACUCCUCCUAUGACCAGGCACUAGAUUUGUGAGUUGCUGAUCUGCACGUGACAGACAGUAAGAGUGGACAAACACUGUUGAGUAAUGUCGGCAGCCAAUCCUCGCGUAAGAACACAGCAAGCACAUCACCAGGGAGGGAGGACGAAGCUCCAAUGAAACCUGGUUAUUUAAAGUUCAUAAUUUUCUGUGUGGGCUUAGCAGCACUCAUAACAAUUGUUGUGGUCGUCAAUAUAUGGGUGAGAACCGAAGGGAAGAAAAAACUCAGAUGGAUGACGCUGACGAUGCUGUGCAAAAUGACGACGGUGGAGAUGAUGAUGAUGAUGCAGUCUUCUAUGAGAACUCCGGUGGCCGUGAUACCUGUUAGACUAGAAUUAGUAACGACCUCAGGAUCUACAUCAACUUAAAAAAUCAAAAUAGGAGAAAAUAUGUAAUAGCCUAUGAGCUUCAGUGUCUUUCCGUUUUAUUAUAGUUUAAAAAAAA